CGUACGGCCUUAUCACUUGUUCCUUCUUCAACAAUUCCACCACCACCGCCUCCUUCUCUCUCCUUCUCCGGCGACCUCCUUCCUCUUCCCUUCUCUCCUCCGUUUCUUCUCCUCCAAGACUUCGCAGAAACACAAAUCACCUUCUCUUCCGCCGCCGUCUUCUUAUUCUUCUUCGCUUCGCCGUCCGUCGGCGACUCUAUCCGAAGCCCUGGCUCAGAAAAUUGG
Molecule: long non-coding RNA, 225 nt
Filed under: Capsicum annuum
Lineage: Eukaryota; Viridiplantae; Streptophyta; Magnoliopsida; Solanales; Solanaceae
Description: long non-coding RNA (CANN_LNC002905)
Source: RNAcentral